This 253-nucleotide ribosomal RNA is filed under the name uncultured bacterium. RNAcentral describes it as "partial 16S ribosomal RNA". It matches the Rfam family "Bacterial small subunit ribosomal RNA", at positions 524 to 776 of the family's 1533-position model. The record is from RNAcentral.
UACAGAGGGUGCGAGCGUUAAUCGGAAUUACUGGGCGUAAAGCGCACGUAGGUGGCGACGUAAGUCGGGUGUGAAAGCCCCGGGCUCAACCUGGGAAUUGCAUUCGAGACUGCAUUGUUGGAGUACGGAAGAGGAAGGCGGAAUUCCCGGUGUAGCGGUGAAAUGCGUAGAUAUCGGGAGGAACAUCAGUGGCGAAGGCGGCCUUCUGGUCCAGUACUGACACUCAAGUGCGAAAGCGUGGGGAGCAAACAGG